UUAUCAGAGGUGGCAGGUGUGGUGAAGUCCUUGGAGACAGGUUUGCACCGGUGGUCAGGAUAAAGAUGAGUCUGUGACGGUAGAAGUGACAUUUUUGGAGAAAGUGGACCCCUGCAUUUUGGCUGAUCCAUUUGUGAUUUCAGGAAAGCCAGAAGCCAACAGGACCCUGAACAGCUUCUACCCUCAAGCUAUAAGACUGAGAAAUAGCUACCUGGAAUAUCUGCAUUGACCUUUUUUGCACUAACCUCUUUUGACUCAUCACAUAAACUGCUGUUUAUUAUCUACCUCAACCCCUGCACAUCAUCACUAGUGCAGUAGUGAGUGCAUUAAUUUUCUUAUUUGUUCAUACUUGUCCCCCAUGGGAUUUGAACCGACAACCCUGGCAUUGCAAGUUCCAUGCUCUACCAACUGAACCACUCAGGACAGAAAUUAUAACUUGUGUUAUUAUUUUCCUAUUUAUUCCUUGUGUUAUUUUUCUAUUUUUCCUCUCUGCAUUAUUGGGAAGGGCCUAUAAGUAAACAUUUCACUGUUAGUCAACACGUGUUCAUUAUGAAGCAAGUGACAAAUACAAUUUGAUUUGAUUUAACAAGUGAAGUAAUAAGGGAUCAUAACUUUCACCUCGAUUCACCUAUCAGUCUAUGUCAUGGAAAGUGCAGAUGUUCCUAAUGUUCUGUACACUCAGUGUACGUCAAAGUGCUUCUAUAGCUAUAUACACCAUGAUACUGCCUAUUUAAUUUAUUCAUUUAGCAAACAUAAAGCUCAUAAUCCAGUGUCUUUUUCACAGUCAACACACCCAUAUUUCAGCUUUAAUUAGCUUUAAAACAGCAACAUUUUCUCUCAGCAUCAUUGCAAAAAUAUUUUGAAUAGCAUGAUAUUAGCUACAUCUUUCUCUUUACCCCGUGACAAAAUGUGUAAAAUGAGAGAGAUAUAUAUAUAUGGGGCCCAACCAAAUUUCUGCAAGCCCACCUACCAACGAAUUUCUAACUAUGCCACUGAUUACUAACCUCCAUUCUCCUUCGUUAAGUCGGUUUCAAGGCUACCCCUGUCGGCUGCUCCUGAUCUACAGUUUACUACAAACGUCCAGCUUUCAAGAAACUGUAACAAUGCGUCUCUCGAACAUCUCGUUAUGUCAAGGCAGCAUAUCGUAUUUUUGAUCGCUAGAAAUAGCC
This is a long non-coding RNA of Oncorhynchus tshawytscha (Chinook salmon), 1169 nucleotides long. NCBI's taxonomy places the organism in Eukaryota, Metazoa, Chordata, Actinopteri, Salmoniformes, Salmonidae. The record is from Ensembl.